RNAcentral lists this long non-coding RNA (1867 nucleotides) under Triticum aestivum (bread wheat). RNAcentral's name for it is "long non-coding RNA (TAES_LNC024031)". Lineage: Eukaryota; Viridiplantae; Streptophyta; Magnoliopsida; Poales; Poaceae. The record is from RNAcentral.
CAUAGACAUAACAGAUGGAUACAUAAAAAAAUUAUUUUAUUUGACAGGAAAUUGAUGCAAAUAGGACAUGAGAAUAAUACUUCAUGAAUUGUAUUAAAACAUCUAAAUGAUAAUGACAAUUUGUAACUAUGUACACCCUGCAGAUAUCUUAUAUUUUCAAGUGUUACAAACAAUAGCAUGCAUUUUUGGAGGAUAAUAUAAUGUCAGCUGAAGCUGAAAGGAACCACUUAUAUGUUGGAGGUUAGGAGACUACCGAUUCACAGUAGUUUUCUAAUGUGCAUUCACAUGAAUCACAAGUAAACCGUGGAAAACUUGUCCAAUUUGCAUCACCAAACAUGAAUUGCAAUAUUCCUGAGGAAGAGUCGAAGAAUAGCUUUUUUCAGAGCAAUGCAUACAUAACAAAAGAUAAUAUACAUAAACUGUGUGAUGUAAAACACAACCAACAAAAUUUGUGUGUAGUUUAUAUAUAAGUUUAAGGCCUGAAGGAAGCGAGGUUGCUACUAUAAUAGACAUGUGUACAAUCAGCAAAUUUAAAUAUUGACCAUCAAAUAACUCAGAAAAAAGCAAUGGUUGUCAAUCCAAGAAUUAGUCAAGCAAACUUUGUUGAACUACAUAUCCCAAUUUCGGCAAAAAAGAAAACAAAAUGUCUUAGUAAGAUGUAUAUAUGAUCGUUAUUGAGAGAGAGAGGGGGGCGGAGGUACAUUAAUUCAUCUUGAUGAAGAAAUGAACAAACGAAGAAAGGGAGAAAACAAAUUCAGUGAGCACACCUUCGCUGGGAAAGUCAACCUGGACGCACACACAGAGAUCCAAAAGACUCGGAAUACAAUACCCAUACAUCAUGAGUACAUGGACCACGCGUAUCAGCAUUCCCAAAGAGAAUAGGUGUUGUACCAAAUCCCAUCUAACCAAAUUCGUAUAGAUUAGUCAACCUUGAAAGAGUACCUUACCUAGUCUAGGUCUGCUAAUUCAGUUCAUUAGGAAAUUAAGCGUACAGAGUAUGGACCACACCAUGCAAAAAUGUUUAAGCAGCACUCCAAUAUUUCUUUCUUUAGCCUGCCAACAAAGCUUGAUUAAGCUAGGUGCGGGCCGUCUUCCAAUCUUUCUAAAUCAGAGCAAUUAGAAAUAUGAAAAAUAGCAAUAAUGUUAACAAAAAAGGGAUAUGAAUGCCCGCUGUAGUUACUUGAAAAAUAUAAUGGCAUGUGCAUUAUGGAAUUUUGCUUGUAAUACUGAAACUUAUUUAUGAUCCAAACUGCAGUCUCGAGAAUUCCAGCCGAAAAAUAUAAUGGCAUGUGCAGGGUAGUCUGCAACUCUACAUCGUGCCAUAAGGGGAGAAGAUUUGAUUGGGAUAUAUAUGCAUGCUCAGAAACACAACUUGUUUAAUCAAUAUGUAGGAGAGGGGACGAAUUCGUACCCAGACAUGACGGCUUCGUAGUCGCGAGAGCUUCAGUCUAAGACAGUGACAAAGAACCCCCGCCUCUACGGAAGGAACAUGUGCCACUGCCUAUAAUCCAUCGACAUCGCCUCAUAGAUCCUCUCUGUGUUGACCGCUUUCUCCCACGUCUCGGUGGACGCACAUGUGAGCAAUGGAACUGGAGGUACCUAGAGGAGCCAUGGACUGGGAUUAGAGCAUUGUACUGACGUGAGAGGGAGGGAGAGAUCAUCUGUCCCCAACCACACCUCACAACCUUUCGACAACAUGUCGCUUCCCUCACCCGUAGGCGCUCAUACCAUGGGAGAGAGAUAUUGGGAAAGCAUGGGAGAUAAAGACGGGAAGGGGAAGAGACUGGGCAGGGAGAAGAAUGGUCGUGAGGUUGUUGACGGCAUGGACGGCCCGACGGAGAAGCACUCAAGAUUUUUUUAAUUUGAU